This is a long non-coding RNA of Mauremys reevesii (Reeves's turtle), 776 nucleotides long. RefSeq lists it as uncharacterized. NCBI's taxonomy places the organism in Eukaryota, Metazoa, Chordata, Testudines, Geoemydidae. The transcript has 3 exons. The record is from RefSeq and is a predicted model, not a curated record.
UAUAGGAGGAUCAUUGCAGGAGUGUGGAGCUCACUGCAUGAUGGGGGUCUUGGUCUCUCUCUAACAGAAUUACAGACAUGCCCUGAAAGAAGAGUCUGCCUUUCCUCCACAUCUGCCUGGAGUUUCCAGUGUUGAGGUCACUUCGAUCUUUCAAGUACUGCUUGGCAGUGCUAAUGGUAUUGAUGUACUCAGAAGAGCUACAGUUCCAGGAUUAAGUUUGCCCUUAGGGAAAAAAAAUAAGAAUUUGUUCUGCAUUAGCAUUUUUGCUAGAUGAAAUCCCACAAAUCCUAUUUAGGUAAUAAGUAAGGCACUUAUCACCAGAGACACAGUACAUUUAUGAAGCAGAUUUUAAGAAAUGUGCCUGAAACAAAGGGCCUCCAAAACAUGCAUAGAAAACCAAACAAAACCCUGAUAACGAAACAGUCAUAAAAAUACAACCUUCAUUGGAAGGGUGUUCUUUUGGACAAACUGUAUGGCUCAGAAGUUAGUCUCUUAAAUCUCAAGGUAGCUAGUUUGAAUCCAGCCCUGGUAAAUAGUAACUCAAAAUUAUUGCAAUCUAAUAGGUGUGAGUAUUUGGCAAACUUUAUUAAACGAGUUAGCGUUUAUAGACUGUUCCUAGUGGCCAAAUGUCCUAGUCACAGAACCACUGCACAAAUUGGCCAGCCUUGUUAGCAAUGUCACCAGAGAGAUCCGCUUUGAAUGGACUUUGAAACAAACUGCCCUUUCAUCUCUAAAGUUGACUUCUUCAGCUCACAUUAAUGGGGUGAGGAGAUGAA